Molecule: ribosomal RNA, 802 nt
Filed under: Salmonella enterica subsp. enterica serovar Newport
Lineage: Bacteria; Pseudomonadati; Pseudomonadota; Gammaproteobacteria; Enterobacterales; Enterobacteriaceae
Description: partial 23S ribosomal RNA
Rfam family: Bacterial large subunit ribosomal RNA
Source: RNAcentral
UGUUUCGGCUAGGGGGCCAUCCCGGCUUACCAACCCGAUGCAAACUGCGAAUACCGGAGAAUGUUAUCACGGGAGACACACGGCGGGUGCUAACGUCCGUCGUGAAGAGGGAAACAACCCAGACCGCCAGCUAAGGUCCCAAAGUCAUGGUUAAGUGGGAAACGAUGUGGGAAGGCCCAGACAGCCAGGAUGUUGGCUUAGAAGCAGCCAUCAUUUAAAGAAAGCGUAAUAGCUCACUGGUCGAGUCGGCCUGCGCGGAAGAUGUAACGGGGCUAAACCAUGCACCGAAGCUGCGGCAGCGAACGUAUCACUUAAAGCGAUUCAGCGGGUUACGAUUGACGGAGCGAAGCGACGUCAAAGCGUAUACAAAGUCGAGUCGGUUUAAGGAUACGUUCGUUGGGUAGGGGAGCGUUCUGUAAGCCUGUGAAGGUGGCCUGUGAGGGUUGCUGGAGGUAUCAGAAGUGCGAAUGCUGACAUAAGUAACGAUAAAGCGGGUGAAAAGCCCGCUCGCCGGAAGACCAAGGGUUCCUGUCCAACGUUAAUCGGGGCAGGGUGAGUCGACCCCUAAGGCGAGGCCGAAAGGCGUAGUCGAUGGGAAACAGGUUAAUAUUCCUGUACUUGGUGUUACUGCGAAGGGGGGACGGAGAAGGCUAUGUUGGCCGGGCGACGGUUGUCCCGGUUUAAGCGUGUAGGCUGGUUUUCCAGGCAAAUCCGGAAAAUCAAGGCUGAGGCGUGAUGACGAGGCACUACGGUGCUGAAGCAACAAAUGCCCUGCUUCCAGGAAAAGCCUCUAAGCAUCAGG